Small nucleolar RNA from Phragmites australis (common reed), 64 nucleotides. RefSeq annotates it as small nucleolar RNA snoR101. The record is from RefSeq and is a predicted model, not a curated record. The transcript has a single exon. NCBI's taxonomy places the organism in Eukaryota, Viridiplantae, Streptophyta, Magnoliopsida, Poales, Poaceae.
GUCUUACACUUGAUCUCUGAACUUCAGGUAAGUUCGUAUGUGGAAAUUAUCAAUCACUGAUGCA